GCGGGCCUAACAAGCAGAGCUGUGUGUACAAACACAAAGGCACGCUCCGGCACACUGCUGUCUGGUGGCACAUGGACUGGGCUACUGGCCGGGAGACCGGGCUACCAACAGAGUGACAGCAGUGGAUGGAGGUGCAUGGAGCAUCCUUUUUGGCCACUAUGAAUGAAAUAAAGCAUUACUGAUGACUAAUA
This is a long non-coding RNA of Spea bombifrons (plains spadefoot toad), 191 nucleotides long. RefSeq lists it as uncharacterized. The record is from RefSeq and is a predicted model, not a curated record. The transcript has 2 exons. NCBI's taxonomy places the organism in Eukaryota, Metazoa, Chordata, Amphibia, Anura, Pelobatidae.